UGAGUAAUGCCUAGGUAUCUGCCCAGUCGAGGGGGAUAACAGUUGGAAACGACUGCUAAUACCGCAUACGCCCUACGGGGGAAAGGAGGGGACCUUCGGGCCUUCCGCGAUUGGAUGAACCUAGGUGGGAUUAGCUAGUUGGUGAGGUAAUGGCUCACCAAGGCGACGAUCCCUAGCUGGUCUGAGAGGAUGAUCAGCCACACUGGAACUGAGACACGGUCCAGACUCCUACGGGAGGCAGCAGUGGGGAAUAUUGCACAAUGGGCGAAAGCCUGAUGCAGCCAUGCCGCGUGUGUGAAGAAGGCCUUCGGGUUGUAAAGCACUUUCAGCGAGGAGGAAAGGUUAACGAUUAAUACUCGUUAGCUGUGACGUUACUCGCAGAAGAAGCACCGGCUAACUUCGUGCCAGCAGCCGCGGUAAUACGAGGGGUGCAAGCGUUAAUCGGAAUUACUGGGCGUAAAGCGUACGCAGGCGGUUUGUUAAGCGAGAUGUGAAAGCCCCGGGCUCAACCUGGGAACUGCAUUUCGAACUGGCAAACUAGAGUCUUGUAGAGGGGGGUAGAAUUUCAGGUGUAGCGGUGAAAUGCGUAGAGAUCUGAAGGAAUACCGGUGGCGAANGCGGCCCCCUGNACAAAGACUGACGCUCNNGUACGNNGCGUGGGGAGCAAACAGGAUUAGAUACCC
RNAcentral lists this ribosomal RNA (683 nucleotides) under Shewanella sp. HR06-62. RNAcentral's name for it is "bacterial SSU rRNA". It matches the Rfam family "Bacterial small subunit ribosomal RNA", at positions 107 to 787 of the family's 1533-position model. The record is from RNAcentral. Lineage: Bacteria; Pseudomonadati; Pseudomonadota; Gammaproteobacteria; Alteromonadales; Shewanellaceae.